Molecule: non-coding RNA, 629 nt
Organism: Rattus norvegicus (Norway rat)
Lineage: Eukaryota; Metazoa; Chordata; Mammalia; Rodentia; Muridae
Source: RefSeq, a predicted model, not a curated record
CCCCACAGGCUCUCAUGUGCUCUCCUUCACCAGACCUAAUGGGUGUCUGCAAGAAAAUCUGUGGACAGUUCCAAAGCCAAUGUGCUCCCUUCACUGAUAUGUAAGGACCCUGUUUUCUGGAAUAUUCUCUCAUAUUAACAAAAAAGCUUGGUUGAGGAUCUGGUACCAGUUGACAGCUACCUUCGUCAAAGAUGAGAAGCAGAGAGAAGAGAAAUGAAAUAUGCCUUCUCUUGAGGAAGAGCCAGGAACGGCUCCAUGCCCCAACAGACAGGAUGGAAGUCCACAGAUGGCAAAGUUUCUCCCUCAUGACACCAGACUCAUUAUACAGCACAUUGUGACUGCAGAGAGAAGAAGGGAGCUCUUAAGAUGUAGACAGACCACAGAUACAGUUCCAGAAGGAAGAACUAUGGGAAGGGACAGAGACAAUACAUCAAGAGCUGGUGAGCAGACAUCUUCCAAAGUGAAUGGAGAAUAAAAUCCACAAAGCCAAGAAGCUCAAAGAACCCUCAGAGGAGUAAAUUACAUGCAUACAUACAUAUGUACAGAGAGAGAGAGAGAGAGAGAGAGAGAGAGAGAGAGAGAGAGAACUACAAAAACAAAAAUAACCCAACUGAAACAAAUACUAGAAA